RNAcentral lists this ribosomal RNA (279 nucleotides) under Clostridioides difficile. RNAcentral describes it as "partial 16S ribosomal RNA". It matches the Rfam family "Bacterial small subunit ribosomal RNA", at positions 1264 to 1533 of the family's 1533-position model. Lineage: Bacteria; Bacillati; Bacillota; Clostridia; Peptostreptococcales; Peptostreptococcaceae. The record is from RNAcentral.
GGAGCUAAUCCCUUAAAGCUACUCUCAGUUCGGAUUGUAGGCUGAAACUCGCCUACAUGAAGCUGGAGGUACUAGUAAUCGCAGAUCAGAAUGCUGCGGUGAAUGCGUUCCCGGGUCUUGUACACACCGCCCGUCACACCACGGGAGUUGGAGACGCCCGAAGCCGAUUAUCUAACCUUUUGGAAGAAGUCGUCGAAGGUGGAAUCAAUAACUGGGGUGAAGUCGUAACAAGGUAGCCGUAUCGGAAGGUGCGGCUGGAUCACCUCCUUUCUAAGGAGA